CUCGCCAGGGGAAUACGAGCCCCAGCUUAAAACCCAAAGGACUUGGCGGUGCUUUAGACCCCCCUAGAGGAGCCUGUUCUAGAAUCGAUGAUCCCCGUUCCACCUCACCCUCCCUUGCCUAUUCCGUCUAUAUACCGCCGUCGUCAGCCUACCCUGUGAAGGUUAAAUAGUAAGCAAAAUUGGCAUAACCCCAAAACGUCAGGUCAAGGUGUAGCUGAUGGGAGGGGAAGUAAUGGGCUACAUUUACUGUCCCAGUAAAUACGGAUUUUACCCUGAAAAAGUACCUGAAGGAGGAUUUAGCAGUAAGGGGGGAGUACGAGAGCCCCCCUGAAAACGGCCCUGAAGCGCGCACACACCGCCCGUCACUCUCCCCGAUGGAAAAUAUUUACACAUAAUUAAUAUCAACUCGCCACAAAGGGGAGGCAAGUCGUAACAUGGUAAGCGUACCGGAAGGUGCGCUUGGAGAAA
This 468-nucleotide ribosomal RNA is filed under the name Ophiogobius jenynsi. Its description in RNAcentral is "partial 12S ribosomal RNA". It matches the Rfam family "Bacterial small subunit ribosomal RNA", at positions 868 to 1522 of the family's 1533-position model. The record is from RNAcentral. Lineage: Eukaryota; Metazoa; Chordata; Actinopteri; Gobiiformes; Gobiidae.